AACUUUCAGCGACGGAUGUCUUGGCUCCCACAACGAUGAAGAACGCAGCGAAAUGCGAUACGUCUUGCGACUUGCAGAAUCCAGUGAAUCAUCAAAACUUUGAACGCAUCUGCGUUCCGGGAUAUGCCUGGGAGCAUGCUUGUCGGAGUGUCU
This 153-nucleotide ribosomal RNA is filed under the name Scytosiphon lomentaria. Its description in RNAcentral is "5.8S ribosomal RNA". It matches the Rfam family "5.8S ribosomal RNA". Rfam says of the family: 5.8S ribosomal RNA (5.8S rRNA) is a component of the large subunit of the eukaryotic ribosome. The record is from Rfam by way of RNAcentral. Lineage: Eukaryota; Phaeophyceae; Ectocarpales; Scytosiphonaceae.